GUCGCGAGUUGAUCAUAAUAAUAUUUCUGACGACAUGUCCCGUUCCAUCUUGAUAUGCGUCAUGUUGUUAGUUGCACUCAAUAUUAUAAAUGUCGAGGGGCAGGAGGAUGGAGAAGGUGCAGUUGAUGAGUAUCGUGUGGAGCCCGGUCCUGAUGGUCAAGAUAGAGUAAUUAGCAACACUGUUGUACCAGCCGAAUUAGUGGACGACAUCGAACGUUCCGUAAGGGAAGAAGAAAUGGAAUAAGUCAUACUAACAGCUGCUGUUUGUUCCUGAAAUAAAUAUUAAAAUAA
Molecule: long non-coding RNA, 291 nt
Organism: Colias croceus (clouded yellow)
Lineage: Eukaryota; Metazoa; Arthropoda; Insecta; Lepidoptera; Pieridae
Exons: 2
Source: RefSeq, a predicted model, not a curated record